Molecule: long non-coding RNA, 2297 nt
Organism: Drosophila subpulchrella
Lineage: Eukaryota; Metazoa; Arthropoda; Insecta; Diptera; Drosophilidae
Exons: 4
Source: RefSeq, a predicted model, not a curated record
ACUCGUAAGCAUAAACACGGAUAUCUCGGAAACUAUCAAAGAUAGAGAAUUGGGAUCUCAGACCUAGAUUCCGUUGCCUUGACCGCAGCGCAAGUUUGUUACGCAAAUAUGCCAAGCCCACUCUAAAAAAACACCCAUAAAACGUUUGCCACGCCCACUGUAACUCCAAUAACGCCUAAACCUGUCUGCCGCCCACAUAACCAUAUAUUCAGAUCGCUGGUAGGUGGCGCAUUACAAUCUCGCUUUGCUGCUUGCAUAUCUCCAUCCCCCUUUGGUCCCUUUAGCUGAGUAACGGGCAUCUGAUAGUAGAGGUACUAGACUACACUCAUAAAAUAUUUUGUUUUCUCAAACGUUUAAAGACACAUGGGUUGUACAAAAUUUGUAAUGUUACCAAAACUGGAAGGAGGUGAAACAAUUUUGUUUAAAUUUAAUUUCGAAUUUCUGCACUUUUAAAACGCGUUAAAAAUUGUUAAGGGUUUUGGCAGCGAUUUUCUGUCUAUUUGAUUCAUCAUCAGAAAUUUGCACUUAACCACUUCCGUUGAAUUGAUAGACUUAAAUAGAUUUUUAGAAUCGCUGAGUCAACAUUUUUCAAAAUGACUGGGGCACUUUACGUUACUAUAUCAAGCGAUCAUUUAAAAAAUGUAUGUAUCUACUUGCGUUUUGUGAGCACCUUAUUAAUCACGCGCUACGAUUUUGUUAUAGGGAACGCAUCGAUCAAAGCAAAUUACGUUAUACUCGUUUUGCCCAUAGUAACUUAUGGGAAUACAUACAAACAUACCUGAAAACUCAAGCUGAUCCGCUGACAGGUACUUAUACCUAACAUGUGAACAGUUGAAUCGAGACUACUUUUAAAUAAAAGUAAACAAGAAUAAACGCUAAAUUCGUGUGGCUCGCCUAUCAGAUGCCCUUUACUCUAUUUACUAAUUUUAAAAUAAAUAGACUUCCUCCAAAAAUUGACAUUAGUGUUAAAAGACGCGAAAAAACAUUUUUUACACUGUCGAUAUGUUAUGUGUUUUUAACGUAAUUUUUUAAUAACAUUUUUUAUAUGCCAUUUUAAAAAAAUUUGGUAUGCCAAUAGUUUUUCACAAAAAAAUGAGUUAAACUUGAAAAAUCCUUGCGACCUGUAUGUUUUACAUUGGGCGUGUCCACAUUUUAAUCGAAUUUUCAAUCAUCACUAGACGCUAUAUGCUUUAUCCAAAUUCCUUUAGCAUUUAUAGUUUCCGAGAUCUUGCCGUUUAUACGCAUAGGCAGGCGGACUCGAAAAAAUCAAGAGAAUAUACAUUAGGGCGGUUCGAUUUGUAGGGGACCAAAAAAAGCAAAAGGAUUGUAAGCAAUGUUGGCGAACACACUUAUGGUCUAGUAUGGCGUUUGAACACACGUCCUUAAAAAUUACGUUCCCUUUAUACAAAAUCAAUACCAAAUCGACACGCCCUAGCACUCACAGUACAAUUAAAUAUUUUUUAUGGUUGCGUCCCCUUACAAAGUUCUCCGCGUAUUACUGUAUUCGAGUAAUGAGUAUACAGAACACAACGUUCGUUGCAACUUACAACAAGAUCGGAAACUUAAAUAGGAAUUCAGAGUGUCAUAAUAAUACGUUUUUUAAAACCAUACUGAAGAAAUGCAUUAAUUAUCUGCACACUACAAUUUGUGUAUAUUCAUCAUAUAACCUUUUCGAUUUAAGCAUUUCAUAAGCAACAUCACUGGACGAAGCGCACCAGGAGAGUUUACGUAGGCAAAGAAAUGAAAAUCUACUGUGAUGGUCCUAUUCUAGGCAGUGAUACACUGAUCGAAGGGUAUCGCAAAAACUUAAAUGAUAGUAUACCAAGACUUUAAUAUUGGUAAUUGGUUUGGGAGAAAAAGAAAGUACAAAUUAUAUAGUCGGAUAUAUUUCGCCUUAGAAAGGGUAUAAGUGCAGUGGCACGCGCCAACAGCGAAGAGAAAACAAAAGAAGUUAAGUAAAGGGGUGAUAGGAAGACUUUGUGCAUUCUGUUUGAGUGAUUGAAAGGGAAGCAUCCAUUUAAAUUGUGCUCAGCAGAGUUACCUUAAUCGUUACUUGAAGUUAAUAAAAUAAAGUCAGGUAUUUGAUGGGUUCCGUUAGGCGAAAGUGGAUGAUGAAAUGUUUUGUGCCAAUAAAAAUCCUGCAAAGGGUUAAACACAGCUAUAAAAGGAGCGUUGGCCAAGGAUUCGGAGGACCCGGGCAAAGGUUAAAGAAAGGCGAUGACAAAUGUUUAAAAUAAGCUUACAAAAAAACAGAAACAAUAAUUGUCCAUUAGUUGAAAAUUUGAAUAAUACCAUCU